CGUUCCCGGGCCUUGUACACACCGCCCGUCACGAUCGUACGAAAGUGGAAUUGUACUAGAAGUCCUAAUCGAAACAGGCCCAAGGUAUGAUUCAUGAUUGGGGUG
Molecule: ribosomal RNA, 105 nt
Filed under: uncultured bacterium
Lineage: Bacteria
Description: partial 16S ribosomal RNA
Source: RNAcentral